UACAGAGGGUGCGAGCGUUGUCCGGAAUCACUGGGCGUAAAGGGCGCGUAGGUGGUGGCUUAAGCGUGCGGUGAAAGCCCGGGGCUCAACCCCGGGUCGGCCGUGCGAACUGUCGAGCUGGAGCACUGUAGAGGCAGGUGGAAUUCCGGGUGUAGCGGUGGAAUGCGUAGAGAUCCGGAAGAACACCGGUGGCGAAGGCGGCCUGCUGGGCAGUGGCUGACGCUGAGGCGCGACAGCGUGGGGAGGCAAACAGG
Molecule: ribosomal RNA, 254 nt
Filed under: uncultured bacterium
Lineage: Bacteria
Description: partial 16S ribosomal RNA
Rfam family: Bacterial small subunit ribosomal RNA
Source: RNAcentral